UGGGGAAUUUUGGACAAUGGGCGCAAGCCUGAUCCAGCCAUGCCGCGUGAGUGAAGAAGGUCUUCGGAUUGUAAAGCUCUUUUGCCAGGGACGAUAAUGACGGUACCUGGAGAAUAAGCCCCGACAAACUUCGUG
This 135-nucleotide ribosomal RNA is filed under the name uncultured bacterium. RNAcentral describes it as "partial 16S ribosomal RNA". It matches the Rfam family "Bacterial small subunit ribosomal RNA", at positions 355 to 507 of the family's 1533-position model. The record is from RNAcentral.